CCCGGGGCAGCACGGGGCGGUGGGCUACCUGGUGCAGCACACUCUAGAGCACAUUGAGCGCAAAAAGGAGGAGGUGGGCGUAGAGGUGAAGCUGCGCUCCGAUGAGAAGCACAGAGAUGUCUGCUACUCCAUCGGGCUCAUUAUGAAGCAUAAGAGGUAUGGCUAUAACUGUGUGAUCUACGGCUGGGACCCCACCUGCAUGAUGGGACACGAGUGGAUCCGGAACAUGAACGUCCACAGCCUGCCGCACGGCCACCACCAGCCUUUCUAUAACGUGCUGGUGGAGGACGGCUCCUGUCGAUACGCAGCCCAAGAUCGCUUGCCCUGUCUCAGUGUGAUGGGGACGGUGUAAGGGGUUUCUGUGCUC
This 367-nucleotide small RNA is filed under the name Pan troglodytes (chimpanzee). Its description in RNAcentral is "processed transcript". Lineage: Eukaryota; Metazoa; Chordata; Mammalia; Primates; Hominidae. The record is from RNAcentral.